This 2826-nucleotide long non-coding RNA is filed under the name Laticauda laticaudata (blue-ringed sea krait). Its description in RNAcentral is "lncRNA (ENSLLTG00000002687.1)". Lineage: Eukaryota; Metazoa; Chordata; Lepidosauria; Squamata; Elapidae. The record is from RNAcentral.
AUGUCCCUUGAUGUUUUCUUGGAGCUCUCUGAUAUUUUGAGCUUUGGCCAAUCCCAAUUUGAAGAACAUCCAAGCAGAUUCCAGCACUCAAGACUCAGACCAGACACCGGUAUAGAAAAGAGAAAUGGAAGUAGUUGGACAAAUGCUGGUGAACAAGUGAUAUCUUCAGUUCACCUGAGCAAAACUGAACCUAAUCAAGAGGUAAUUGAGUAUCAUAACAAUAGUAAUUAUGAGAAGCCACUCUCAGGAUGCCGGCAGGUUUUGCAAUUUGACCUGACAGAAACAAGUAUUUCAAAAGAAGAGCAACAGGACAGGUGUUUUCCUUCUGGUUCUGGAAGUGUUGCUUUGCAGCAACUUAAAGAAGAUGUCCUAGGAACUAGAGCUGGCAUGGAGGACUUUAUGGAAUUCCUCCAUAACACAUUAGGAAGCCACCUGUUAAACUUCUGGAUUGAUUGUGAAGAUGUCAUGGAUUGCACCAGGCACUUGGAGGCCACAGUUUCACCACAGGAAACACAGCUGUUCUUCUCCAGUGCCUUUCGGGAUAUUCAAGCCAAGUACAGGCUGGCCGUCCCCCCUGCUUUUCAAGAACAGCUUGAGGAAAGUGUAGGGGAAGAGGAGACAGCUUUUGCUUCCUUGAGCAGGAAACAAUAUGAUGCCUUAAGACGAUUGCGUUCUUACUGGGUUCCCCGAUUUCUAAUUCACUAUCAGAGAAUCAGGCAGUUAAGGUUUGAACCCAGUUCAGAGGUGCCUAUUGAAGAGGAGCUUUCCUGGAGUAGUGGUUUCCCAUUUUCUUUGCCUAUGCUUCCUGCUGUGGGUGACCAAAAGGACGUGGUGAACUACAUGAAAAGAAACAAAGACUGGAAAAUGAUGAAAAGCAGAAAAGGAACAGGAUCAAACCGAACUUUGAGGUCUCUUAAAGACUCCUUUGAAACCCUGACAACCAUCCGGUUUCUUGAGGCAUUGAUGUGCGAUCUAGGAGAUGGGGAUGGUUUCCUUCACUACUUGACUCGGUUUGAGGAUCCACAAAAGAUUAAUCAUUUGUUGCUGUGGAAGAAGCUAAAAUGUUAUGAAAAUGCCCAGGAGAACCAAGCAAGCCCAUCUGAAGUACAAAAUAUAGCCUGGCAGAUUUUUCAUAUGUUUCUCGCCACUUAUACAGAAUGCAAUUCAGAGCUUAGUUCUAGUAUGCUGGACGACAUCCAGCAUCUUGAGAGAAUACUUUCCACUGGCAGUGGAGACUUGACAUUUUCUGCUUUUCAACCCAUGAUUCAAUAUGUGCUGCCUAUUAUGGGUGAGGCAUGGCUCCAUUACGUCCGCCAUGAAGUCACAACUUUCCUUGAAUACUGUGUACCAAUAUCUCAUUUGGAUGUCCAAAAUCCUGAAAGCAAAGACCAUAGAAGCAAUCAGGAAAGAAUUGGGAGGAUAAAGAAGCAGAAACCAAACACCUAUGUUCAUGGCUCAAAAGAAAGGUUACACAAAAAAGUGGGUAAAAAGAAGGUGGUUUCCAAAUCUCCCACAGGGGUGAUUUCCAAAUCUCCCAGCAUAAGCAGUACAGACCAGGGAAGUAGAGAAAAAUCACCAGUUCUUCAGGACUCACCCACCCCUCAUAAUGUACCAGAUUUUCUUAGCAACCCAGUUAUCUUAAAUGUGUACAAAAAGGCAGCUUGUAAAAUGCAGAAUAUAGAGCUUCAGAUGGUUUUAGGACUGCUACAGGAAACGGAGGCCUGCUGGGAAGUCCCAGAACAUGAAAAACACCUGAAUUGUGCAGUCAAAUUUCUAGAUAUGUGGAACAAGCUGGGGGUUUUGAGAUCCAGUAUCCCCUUCCCCAAAGAACUGAAGAAAAAAAUAAAGGAAGAAGUGGCCCAGGGAGAAAUUACUGACAUCACCUGGAAUGAAAUCCAGAUCUUAUUACGUUCCCUGGUUGUUCCUACUUUUGAGCAGUUUUGGGAUGAGAUGAGUGAAGGGUUGAAGAAAUAUGGACUGAUGCCUUCUCAGAUUCCAGAAGAACGCUGGUGCAAGCUAGAACCAUUCCUAAAUGUGAUAGCUGGAAAAGUAGCUCUUAGACAUAUGAGGAACAGGGAAGCACAAGAUGCAUCAGCAGCCACAGCAAAACCUACAAGAGAAGACAAAGACUCUUUUUGGCAGUCUCUACAAGAGGCUGCAGAAGGUUGGCCCACUGUGGAGAUGCUCCAUUUCAUUAAACACCUCCAGGUAUAUGGCACACCUGUGCUGGAGAGUGGUUUGCAUUUUCUACUGGAAGUGCAGAAAUUUAAAAAUGCUCAUCACGACUGGCCUGACAUGACUCUUCUGAAGAAAAAGGUUCUUGUCAUACGUGACUGUUUCCUUGCUUCUCAGGUUGAGCCUCGGCUACAGGUGGCUGUGGAUAAUAAGAGGCUGGGCAGAGCUAUCCGGGCAGCUGAGCACGCACUCCAGAAGGAGAUUCCACCUCCAAGUUUAUUUGACAGCCUGAAGGAUUCAGUCUCCAGCAUGCUAAUGCCAUAUUGGGCUGCCUUUCAAAAACACUGGCUCAAGAGAUCUGUGGCCAGUGCACAAAGAGUUCCAGUGCUGAGAAAUCAGCUACUGCUGCAGAAGAGACAGGCCAGGCUCAAUGAAUCGCCAGGCUCUCUUCGGCUGCCACCACUCCAGCAGCCCAAAGAAAGCAAUGGAAGCAAGUUGCAGGAUGGUUUUAUAUACUCUUUCUCCGUCAGUGAAGGACUUAUAGUACAGAAUCCAAACAAAGAAGUCCUGAACAUUAGCUCUGCUGUUUUCAGGAGCAUGAGCAAACCCAAUGGGUUUGAGUUUCCUUCUCUUCCAAUGUACCAGUGCUGA